UACGUAGGUGGCAAGCGUUGUCCGGAAUUAUUGGGCGUAAAGUGCGCGUAGGUGGGAUCAUAAGUCUUUUGUCAAAGUGCGGGGCUCAACCCCGUGAUGCGGAAGAAACUGUGGUUCUUGAGUGCAGGAGAGGAAAGCGGAAUUCCCAGUGUAGCGGUGAAAUGCGUAGAUAUUGGGAGGAACACCAGUGGCGAAGGCGGCUUUCUGGACUGUGUCUGACACUGAGGCGCGAAAGCCAGGGGAGCGAACGGG
Molecule: ribosomal RNA, 252 nt
Filed under: uncultured bacterium
Lineage: Bacteria
Description: partial 16S ribosomal RNA
Rfam family: Bacterial small subunit ribosomal RNA
Source: RNAcentral